GGUGACAGUCGGCCAGUGGAGCGCCAGCACCCCCACAUUGGUAGUCUUAAUCCUGUUUGACCCCCACGUACCUGAAUUGUGAUGGCGGAAGUGGGGUGUGCACUCCUCAACGAAAGCACGAUGAGCGACAUGCAACGUCUCCAGUGGCCUGUUCUUCAGUCACAAGAAUGAACUGCAUUCUAGAUGGUGGAGCUUCUGCCAGCCUGGGUUAGGGAGUGACCACGUGGAACAAAGAACAUCAGCUCCUCCCCCUGAACUCCCCAACUUCAACCAAAUUGUGAGACAGGCACACAUCUGGAGAAGGGAGAGAAAGCUGAACUAAGCAUACAAGAGGAAUUUUGGCUCACAUGGCCAGCAUCAAAGUUAUUAUCAUCUUCAUCAUCUAUGGAUGAGUAAUCUGAUGAUUCACCUUCAACCUCUUCU
Heterocephalus glaber (naked mole-rat) is the source of this 423-nucleotide long non-coding RNA. NCBI's taxonomy places the organism in Eukaryota, Metazoa, Chordata, Mammalia, Rodentia, Bathyergidae. The record is from Ensembl.